AUGGCACCAUCCAAAUCCCAUCUCGCCUUGCUCCUCGCCGUAGUUCUGAUCGCCGCCACGCCGCAGCCUUCGGCGGCCGUCAGGGAGGCCCCUGCCCCCUCCACCAGCAACGAUUUAGUAGCAAAACCAUCGGCAUGGUGCAUUCCCUGCUUUUCGUUUCUACCACAGUUAUUCUGUAUACCGCCGAUAUUCUGUCCACCUACGCCAAGUGCGCUGCCGCCGCCGCCGCCGCCAGCGAAGCCGGAGCCGAAAGAGUGUCUACCAUCGCUGAUGGGGCUGAUGCCAUGCAAGGAUUACUUCACCAACAAAACCGCGCCGGAGCCUCCAAACCAAGGCAAGUGCUGUGACGGCCUGAGGUCACUCUUCGUAAACGCUCCUAUCUGCAUAUGCCGCAUAUCGGACGACGGCGACCUCGACAAGCUCAUGUCGGCACCCGUGCAUGGAGAAAACAUCCUUCGUGUGGCGGUUAUCUGUGGCACGGCUCUGAGUGAUUAUGGAUCUUGCGAGGGUAAGUUCUUGCUCUCCGUACUAUAA
This 534-nucleotide ribosomal RNA is filed under the name Triticum aestivum (bread wheat). RNAcentral describes it as "partial small subunit ribosomal RNA". The record is from RNAcentral. Lineage: Eukaryota; Viridiplantae; Streptophyta; Magnoliopsida; Poales; Poaceae.